GAUGAACGCUGGCGGCGUGCCUAAUUCAUGCAAGUCGAACGCACCACUUCGGUGGUGAGUGGCGAACGGGUGAGUAACACGUAGAUAACCUGCCCUUAAGACGAGGAUAACCAUUGGAAACGAUGGCUAAAACUGGAUAGGAAUAUUGGAGGCAUCUCUGAUAUUUUAAAAGACCUAGCAAUAGGUAUGCUUAAGGAGGGGUCUGCGGCGCAUUAGUUAGUUGGUGAGGUGAUGGCUUACCAAGACGAUGAUGCGUAGCCGGACUGAGAGGUUGAACGGCCACAUUGGGACUGAGAGACGGCCCAAACUCCUACGGGAGGCAGCAGUAGGGAAUUUUCGGCAAUGGGGGAAACCCUGACCGAGCAACGCCGCGUGAAUGACGAAGUACCUCGGUAUGUAAAGUUCUUUUAUUGGGGAAGAAUGGCUAGCGGAAAAGCUAGAUUGACGGUACCUGAUGAAUAAGCCCCGGCUAACUAUGUGCCAGCAGCCGCGGUAAUACAUAGGGGGCAAGCGUUAUCCGGAAUUAUUGGGCGUAAAGGGUGCGUAGGUGGUUAGAUAAGUCUUAGGUGUAAGUGCAGAGCUUAACUCUGUGAUGCUAAAGAAACUGUCUGACUUGAGUGUGGUAGAGGCAAGUGGAAUUCCAUGUGUAGCGGUAAAAUGCGUAAAUAUAUGGAGGAACACCAGUGGCGAAGGCGGCUUGCUGGGCCAUAACUGACACUGAGGCACGAAAGCGUGGGGAGCAAACAGGAUUAGAUACCCUGGUAGUCCACGCCGUAACCGAUGAGUACUAAGUGUUGGAGAA
RNAcentral lists this ribosomal RNA (802 nucleotides) under uncultured bacterium. RNAcentral's name for it is "bacterial SSU rRNA". It matches the Rfam family "Bacterial small subunit ribosomal RNA", at positions 28 to 830 of the family's 1533-position model. The record is from RNAcentral.